GUAAAAAUGUAAUUUUUUGUUUUUUAAUCUAUUCUUUGAGCAAUAUUAUUAUCCGUAUACCGUAAUCUAAAAUAUUAUGAUAUUACAUUAUUCUGAUAAAAUAUUAUGAAUAAUUAAACAGUCUAAACACGUUGGUAUGCGAGGUAUAUACGCACGCACACACGCAUUCACACACACACACACACACACACACGCACACACGCAUAGGUAAAUAGCUAGAGAUACGCUGCGUAACAUAUGCACGACAAGACAGAGUUGGGUUGUUCAGCUGAUACGACCUGACCCUAAAAAGUACCUACCUACAAUAAUAAUAUUAAUAAUACAUUAUUCGUUGAACGAGAAGAGAAUAAAAUUGCAUAAUAAUAUAAUUCGUAUGGGUUAAUAAUAUACAGCGUGGUCAAUAUAAUGUAGUAAGGCACUCGUUAUCCAGAAAAGUAUUAACUUUUUUCGGAAUCUGUAUACUAGUAACAUUUAAAACACAAGCUGCUCUAAAAUAUCGAAUUGAACCACUCUCCAUUUUUUGAUCUUCAAAGAGCACCCUAUAUUAAAACUUUCAUAAAUAGAUCGAAUUUUAGUUUGAAUAAACUCAAGUUCUGACAUUUUUUAUUGUUGAAAUAAUUUACUUUUAGGUUAGCCGUUUUUCGGGCAAAGGGAGAGUAGUAGAGUACUCUAUUAAAUCGUUACGCUAUCAUAUAAAUUAUGCCCCACUACUCUCUUCGUAUUCUAAUAUAAAAGUGGAACAUCUCGUGUCAACCGAUUAACGGAAAUAAAAAA
This is a non-coding RNA of Cinara cedri, 774 nucleotides long. The record is from the annotation of a GenBank genome assembly. Lineage: Eukaryota; Metazoa; Arthropoda; Insecta; Hemiptera; Aphididae.